GAUGAACGCUGGCGGCGUGCCUAAUACAUGCCAGUCGAGCGAACGGACGAGAAGCUUGCUUCUCUGAUGUUAGCGGCGGACGGGUGAGUAACACGUGGAUAACCUACCUAUAAGACUGGGAUAACUUCGGGAAACCGGAGCUAAUACCGGAUAAUAUUUUGAACCGCAUGGUUCAAAAGUGAAAGACGGUCUUGCUGUCACUUAUAGAUGGAUCCGCGCUGCAUUAGUUAGUUGGUAAGGUAACGGCUUACCAAGGCAACGAUGCAUAGCCGACCUGAGAGGGUGAUCGGCCACACUGGAACUGAGACACGGUCCAGACUCCUACGGGAGGCAGCAGUAGGGAAUCUUCCGCAAUGGGCGAAAGCCUGACGGAGCAACGCCGCGUGAGUGAUGAAGGUCUUCGGAUCGUAAAACUCUGUUAUUAGGGAAGAACAUAUGUGUAAGUAACUGUGCACAUCUUGACGGUACCUAAUCAGAAAGCCACGGCUAACUACGUG
Molecule: ribosomal RNA, 497 nt
Filed under: uncultured bacterium
Lineage: Bacteria
Description: partial 16S ribosomal RNA
Rfam family: Bacterial small subunit ribosomal RNA
Source: RNAcentral